CGUAGGGUGCGAGCGUUGUCCGGAUUAUUGGGCGUAAAGAGCUCGUAGGCGGUUUGUCGCGUCGACUGUGAAAACCUGGGGCUUAACUCUGGGCCUGCAGUCGAUACGGGCAGACUUGAGUUCGGUAGGGGAGACUGGAAUUCCUGGUGUAGCGGUGCAAUGCGCAGAUAUCAGGAGGAACACCGGUGGCGAAGGCGGGUCUCUGGGCCGAUACUGACGCUGAGGAGCGAAAGCGUGGGGAGCGAACAGGAUUAGAUACCCUGGUAGUCCACGCUGUAAACGUUGGGCGCUAGGUGUGGGGGACAUUCACGUUCUCCGUGCCGUAGCUAACGCAUUAAGCGCCCCGCCUGGGGAGUACGGCCGCAAGGCUA
RNAcentral lists this ribosomal RNA (371 nucleotides) under uncultured organism. RNAcentral describes it as "bacterial SSU rRNA". It matches the Rfam family "Bacterial small subunit ribosomal RNA", at positions 526 to 896 of the family's 1533-position model. The record is from RNAcentral.